Molecule: ribosomal RNA, 319 nt
Filed under: uncultured eukaryote
Lineage: Eukaryota
Description: partial 18S ribosomal RNA
Rfam family: Eukaryotic small subunit ribosomal RNA
Source: RNAcentral
CCCCUAGAUGUUCUGGGCUGCACGCGUGCUACAAUGAAGCGUCCAACAAGAUGCGAAGCCGAAAGGCUCAGCGGAUCUUUGAAGUCGUUUCGUGACCGGGACAGUUGAUUGCAAUUAUUCGACUCGAACGAGGAAUUCCUUGUAAUCGCGAUUCAUCAUAUCGCGCUGAAUACGUCCCUGCCCUUUGUACACACCGCCCGUCGCUCCUACCGAUUGAGCGAUCCGGUGAAUUAUUUGGAGUGUCCACGCAAGCCAAUCCGUUUACGUGGGUGCGAAAUUUUGUAAACCUUAUCGCUUAGAGGAAGGAAAAGUCGUAACA